This is a long non-coding RNA of Dermacentor albipictus, 825 nucleotides long. RefSeq lists it as uncharacterized. Lineage: Eukaryota; Metazoa; Arthropoda; Arachnida; Ixodida; Ixodidae. The record is from RefSeq and is a predicted model, not a curated record.
UGGAACCGAAAAUUAUUGUUUCGCUUGCUCAGCAGAACCUACUAAAGGCAGCCUUAUACGACCUGCGUCACGUCUCAGCAAACUGAUAUUUAACGCUUCGGCCUAUGAAGCUCACAGGAAAAAAAGACAUGGACGCGACAUUUAUAACAGCAACGCUACUGGUCAUAUAUGUCGCCUUCUGGGAGCACAGCGGCGCGGCCAGGUCAAGAAACCCUGCCUGCGAGGAGACUCCUACAGUGGAAAACUGCAGCAUUGUGCUCCGAAAAUGGAGCUUCAAUAUUGAAGCUAACGAAUGCGAAAUAAAUUUUGUUUGCCGAGAAAACAAAAAUUUGUUUCACUCGCAAGAGAACUGCACCAGAACUUGCCCACCAAUUUCAGGAGUGGCACCUCGGCUGAAAAAAGAGGAUUGCUACUAUUGGCUCGACAAAGGAAACGGAUGUUACUCAUACUGGUUUCCUAAUUAUUAUGACCGUUGGGGAACAAGCUAUCCAGUCAUGAUAUAUACUGGAUGUGGAAAGUGGCGACAUAGGCGCUAUGUUUAUUAUCUGCAAGCAAGGAAAUGCGCAGAAAUAAGAUGAAAGCCAUGUGGAUCCUGGAAAUAAAGCAGGACAAUGCUUUUCGUUUGACCCAUAUCACUCAAAAUAUUAUGUGCGUUUCAAUGGUCCUAGAAGAAACACAACGCUCCAUGAGAAACGAGCAGUAGCGAUAUACUGGUCACAAGAAUGCAUAUGCAUACAUACAAUCUUAUAUGUUAUAUCAUAUUUUUCUAUGUAAAAGAAAUAAAUUCCUAAAUACAGGAAGUAAUGCAAAAGUCUAGCGGAACAU